Molecule: ribosomal RNA, 832 nt
Filed under: uncultured bacterium
Lineage: Bacteria
Description: bacterial SSU rRNA
Rfam family: Bacterial small subunit ribosomal RNA
Source: RNAcentral
AGUCGAACGGAGUUAUGAUGUGAGCGGGAAGUGCUUGCACUAAACAGUCUUUUCAUAACUUAGUGGCGGACGGGUGAGUAACGCGUGGGUAACCUGCCCUGUACUGGGGGACAACAGUUGGAAACGACUGCUAAUACCGCAUAAGCGCACGGGAUCGCAUGAUCGUGUGUGAAAAACUCCGGUGGUACAGGAUGGACCCGCGUCUGAUUAGCUGGUUGGUGAGGUAACGGCCCACCAAGGCAACGAUCAGUAGCCGACCUGAGAGGGUGAACGGCCACAUUGGGACUGAGACACGGCCCAAACUCCUACGGGAGGCAGCAGUGGGGAAUAUUGCACAAUGGGGGAAACCCUGAUGCAGCGACGCCGCGUGAGUGAAGAAGUAUUUCGGUAUGUAAAGCUCUAUCAGCAGGGAAGAAAAUGACGGUACCUGACUAAGAAGCCCCGGCUAACUACGUGCCAGCAGCCGCGGUAAUACGUAGGGGGCAAGCGUUAUCCGGAUUUACUGGGUGUAAAGGGAGCGUAGACGGCAUGGCAAGUCUGAAGUGAAAUGCGGGGGCUCAACCCCUGAACUGCUUUGGAAACUGUCAGGCUGGAGUGCAGGAGAGGUAAGUGGAAUUCCUAGUGUAGCGGUGAAAUGCGUAGAUAUUAGGAGGAACACCAGUGGCGAAGGCGGCUUACUGGACUGUAACUGACGUUGAGGCUCGAAAGCGUGGGGAGCAAACAGGAUUAGAUACCCUGGUAGUCCACGCCGUAAACGAUGAUUACUAGGUGUUGGGGAUUUAUAAAUCCCCGGUGCCGUCGCAAACGCAAUAAGUAAUCCACCUGGGGAGUA